Molecule: unclassified non-coding RNA, 315 nt
Filed under: uncultured Agaricomycetes
Lineage: Eukaryota; Fungi; Basidiomycota; Agaricomycetes
Description: sequence contains ITS2
Rfam family: 5.8S ribosomal RNA (bases 1-52)
Source: RNAcentral
AACGCAUCUUGCACUCCUUGGUAUUCCGAGGAGUAUGCCUGUUUGAGUGUCAUGAACAUUUCAACCUUUUUCUUUUGCUUGAAAGAGGCUUGGAUCUCUGGAGGGUUUGCUGGAGAAGAACAUCUAGUUCAUCAGCUCCUCUGAAACAUAUCAGCAGAGUUUGCACCUGGUGAAAAAUCCUUUGAUAUGGUAAUUAUCAGUAUCAUUGGAAUCUCCAGACUUUCUAAUUGAAAGGACUUUGCUUCCAAUCGUCUUACAAAGACACUUCUUUGAACUUUUGACCUCAAAUCAGGUAGGACUACCCGCUGAACUUAA